CAACUGGGGAGAGAGAGUGGGGAAUGAUAUGGAGGAAAGGAGCCACAGGUUGGAUCUGGACCCAGGCCACCCACUUUCAGGACAACAGCCUCUUAACAUGGGGUGCACUUUUGGUUUAGAGCACAAAGACCCCUGAGCGCUGGCCAGCCCACCCUGCAGAUGGCCGGAGGAUCAGAGGCUGUCAGCACGCUUAAACGAGCCAAGAGUCGAGGCUUCAGCCCCGCGGGGGAGGACAGAGCAUGAAUGGGGCUGGUUAUGCUGCAGACUCAUCAUACCCGUCCUCAGAUUAAAAUAGAGGGUGAGAAGUGGACACAGCAGGGUUCUCUUCAUACAG
Molecule: long non-coding RNA, 334 nt
Organism: Cheilinus undulatus (humphead wrasse)
Lineage: Eukaryota; Metazoa; Chordata; Actinopteri; Labriformes; Labridae
Exons: 3
Source: RefSeq, a predicted model, not a curated record